GUCCCCACUUCGGCAACAUAUAUACUAAAAUUGGAAUGUUACAAAGGAGAUUAGCAUGGCUCCUGCACAAGGAUGACAGGCAAAUUUGAGAAGCAUUCUAUAUUUUU
This 107-nucleotide small nuclear RNA is filed under the name Octodon degus (degu). Lineage: Eukaryota; Metazoa; Chordata; Mammalia; Rodentia; Octodontidae. The record is from RNAcentral.